Long non-coding RNA from Salvia splendens (bonfire salvia), 654 nucleotides. RefSeq lists it as uncharacterized. The record is from RefSeq and is a predicted model, not a curated record. Lineage: Eukaryota; Viridiplantae; Streptophyta; Magnoliopsida; Lamiales; Lamiaceae. The transcript is spliced from 2 exons.
UGCUUUGGUUAGGAUAUCAGCCAAUUGUUCCUCGGAUCGCACAAACGGGAAUUCUAUGACUCCACCUUCCAAUUUUUCUUUAAUGAAGUGGCGAUCGACUUCAACGUGUUUGGUUCGAUCAUGUUGUACUGGAUUUUCUGAUAUGCUGAUUGCCGCUUUAUUGUCACAGAAUAACUUACUCUUUCGGUUUGGGGGAAAACCGAUCUCAGUAAGUAAUCUCCUAAGCCAUAUGAUCUCCAUGAGUCCACUCUUGAUGCCUCGGAACUCUGCUUCAGCACUUGAUAAGGCUACAACCUUUUGCUUCUUACUUCUCCAAGUAACUAGGUUGCCUCCGAUGAAGGUAAAGUAUCCACCGGUUGACUUUCUAUCGACUGGAUUACUUGCCCAAUCGGCAUCUGUAUAGCCAUCUACUUCAAGGUUCAGCUCCCUCAACAAUUUUUAGCCCAUGAUUCGGUAUCAUUGGUGUGUCAGCAGGCUUGCAAUCUAAGAGGCCAGUUUCUGCCAACAUGUCGAGGACAUAUUUUCUCUGUCUUAAGAAUAUUCCAUGAUUCGACCUGAGCACUUCAAUUCCUAAGAAGUAUUUUAGAGGGCCGAGAUCUUUCAUGUCAAAUUCUUUAAACAGAUUGAUCUUGAGGUUGUUGAUUUCUUCUGUGU